GACAGAGGGGGCAAGCGUUGUUCGGAAUUACUGGGCGUAAAGGGCGCGUAGGCGGCCUUCUAAGUCGAACGUGAAAUCCCCGGGCUCAACCCGGGAACUGCGUCCGAUACUGGAAGGCUUGAAUCCGGGAGAGGGAUGUGGGAUUCCAGGUGUAGCGGUGAAAUGCGUAGAUAUCGUGAGGAAGACCAGUUGCGAAGGCGGAUCUCUGGGCAGUUCCUGACACUGAGGCACGAAGGCCAGGGGAGCAAACGGG
This 253-nucleotide ribosomal RNA is filed under the name uncultured bacterium. RNAcentral describes it as "partial 16S ribosomal RNA". It matches the Rfam family "Bacterial small subunit ribosomal RNA", at positions 524 to 776 of the family's 1533-position model. The record is from RNAcentral.